RNAcentral lists this ribosomal RNA (595 nucleotides) under uncultured soil bacterium. Its description in RNAcentral is "bacterial SSU rRNA". It matches the Rfam family "Bacterial small subunit ribosomal RNA", at positions 28 to 607 of the family's 1533-position model. The record is from RNAcentral.
AAUCAACGCUGGCGGCGUGCCUAACACAUGCAAGUCGAACGCGGUUAGUAGCAAUACUAACUGAGUGGCGAACGGGUGAGUAACGCGUGGGUGACCUACCUUCGAGUGGGGGAUAACGUCCCGAAAGGGACGCUAAUACCGCAUGACAUCCUCUUUUUGAACAGAGAGAGAUCAAAGCCGGGGAUCGCAAGACCCGGCGCUUGAUGAGGGGCCCGCGUCUGAUUAGCUAGUUGGUGGGGUAAUGGCUCACCAAGGCGACGAUCAGUAUCCGGCCUGAGAGGGCGGACGGACACACUGGGACUGAGACACGGCCCAGACUCCUACGGGAGGCAGCAGUGGGGAAUUGUUCACAAUGGGCGCAAGCCUGAUGACGCAACGCCGCGUGGAGGAUGAAGGUCUUCGGAUUGUAAACUCCUGUUGCUCGGGAAGAACAGCUCCGACCUAAUACGUCGGAGUCUGACGGUACCGGGUGAGGAAGCCCCGGCUAACUCUGUGCCAGCAGCCGCGGUAAUACAGAGGGGGCAAGCGUUGUACGGAAUUACUGGGCGUAAAGGGCGCGUAAGCGGCCUGUUAAGUCGAACGUUAAAUCCCUGGG